RNAcentral lists this transfer RNA (68 nucleotides) under Lonicera maackii (Amur honeysuckle). RNAcentral describes it as "tRNA-Gly". It matches the Rfam family "tRNA". Rfam says of the family: Transfer RNA (tRNA) molecules are approximately 80 nucleotides in length. Their secondary structure includes four short double-helical elements and three loops (D, anti-codon, and T loops). The record is from RNAcentral. RNAcentral also lists the same sequence under 97 other names. Lineage: Eukaryota; Viridiplantae; Streptophyta; Magnoliopsida; Dipsacales; Caprifoliaceae.
GGCGGAUGUAGCCAAGUGGAUCAAGGCAGUGGAUUGUGAAUCCACCAUGCGCGGGUUCAAUUCCCGUC